GGGGAAUAUUGGACAAUGGGCGCAAGCCUGAUCCAGCCAUGCCGCGUGUGUGAAGAAGGCCUUAGGGUUGUAAAGCACUUUCAGUGGUGAGGAAGGCGUUGUAGUUAAUAGCUGCAACGAUUGACGUUAGCCACAGAAGAAGCACCGGCUAACUCCGUGCCAGCAGCCGCGGUAAUAUGGAGGGUGCGAGCGUUAAUCGGAAUUACUGGGCGUAAAGCGCACGUAGGCGGCUUGUUAAGCAAGAUGUGAAAGCCCAGGGCUCAACCUUGGAAUUGCAUUUUGAACUGGCAAGCUAGAGUUUUGAAGAGGGUGGUAGAAUUUCCAGUGUAGCGGUGAAAUGCGUAGAUAUUGGAAGGAAUACCAGUGGCGAAGGCGGCCACCUGGUCAAAAACUGACGCUGAGGAGCGAAAGCGUGGGGAGCAAAC
This 425-nucleotide ribosomal RNA is filed under the name uncultured bacterium. RNAcentral describes it as "bacterial SSU rRNA". It matches the Rfam family "Bacterial small subunit ribosomal RNA", at positions 356 to 773 of the family's 1533-position model. The record is from RNAcentral.